GCACUGUUGGUCUAAUGGUUAGGAUAUCUGCCUUUCGAGCAGAUGGUCCGGGUUCAAUUUCCGGACGGUGCA
RNAcentral lists this transfer RNA (72 nucleotides) under Perkinsus olseni. RNAcentral's name for it is "tRNA-Glu". It matches the Rfam family "tRNA". Rfam says of the family: Transfer RNA (tRNA) molecules are approximately 80 nucleotides in length. Their secondary structure includes four short double-helical elements and three loops (D, anti-codon, and T loops). Further hydrogen bonds mediate the characteristic L-shaped molecular structure. tRNAs have two regions of fundamental functional importance: the anti-codon, which is responsible for specific mRNA codon recognition, and the 3' end, to which the tRNAs corresponding amino acid is attached (by aminoacyl-tRNA synthetases). tRNAs cope with the degeneracy of the genetic code in two manners: having more than one tRNA (with a specific anti-codon) for a particular amino acid; and 'wobble' base-pairing, i.e. permitting non-standard base-pairing at the 3rd anti-codon position. The record is from RNAcentral. Lineage: Eukaryota; Perkinsozoa; Perkinsida; Perkinsidae.